RNAcentral lists this non-coding RNA (31 nucleotides) under Rattus norvegicus (Norway rat). Lineage: Eukaryota; Metazoa; Chordata; Mammalia; Rodentia; Muridae. The record is from RNAcentral.
UUCUAUCUCAAAGAAUCUGGUCAAGAAAACC